Molecule: transfer RNA, 84 nt
Filed under: Candidatus Altimarinota bacterium
Lineage: Bacteria; Candidatus Altimarinota
Description: tRNA-Leu
Rfam family: tRNA
About the family: Transfer RNA (tRNA) molecules are approximately 80 nucleotides in length. Their secondary structure includes four short double-helical elements and three loops (D, anti-codon, and T loops).
Source: RNAcentral
GCCCAAGUGGUGGAAUGGUAGACACGCUGGUCUUAGAAACCAGUGCCGCAAGGUGUGAAAGUUCGAGUCUUUUCUUGGGCACCA